GAUGAACGCUGGCGGCGUGCCUAAUACAUGCAAGUCGAGCGAACAGACGAGGAGCUUGCUCCUCUGACGUUAGCGGCGGACGGGUGAGUAACACGUGGAUAACCUACCUAUAAGACUGGGAUAACUUCGGGAAACCGGAGCUAAUACCGGAUAAUAUAUUGAACCGCAUGGUUCAAUAGUGAAAGACGGUUUUGCUGUCACUUAUAGAUGGAUCCGCGCCGCAUUAGCUAGUUGGUAAGGUAACGGCUUACCAAGGCAACGAUGCGUAGCCGACCUGAGAGGGGGAUCGGCCACACUGGAACUGAGACACGGUCCAGACUCCUACGGGAGGCAGCAGUAGGGAAUCUUCCGCAAUGGGCGAAAGCCUGACGGAGCAACGCAGCGUGAGUGAUGAAGGUCUUCGGAUCGUAAAACUCUGUUAUUAGGGAAGAACAAAUGUGUAAGUAACUAUGCACGUCUUGACGGUACCUAAUCAGAAAGCCACGGCUAACUACGUG
Molecule: ribosomal RNA, 497 nt
Filed under: uncultured bacterium
Lineage: Bacteria
Description: partial 16S ribosomal RNA
Rfam family: Bacterial small subunit ribosomal RNA
Source: RNAcentral